Molecule: ribosomal RNA, 434 nt
Filed under: uncultured Oscillospiraceae bacterium
Lineage: Bacteria; Bacillati; Bacillota; Clostridia; Eubacteriales; Oscillospiraceae
Description: bacterial SSU rRNA
Rfam family: Bacterial small subunit ribosomal RNA
Source: RNAcentral
ACGGGAGGCAGCAGUGGGGAAUAUUGCACAAUGGGGGAAACCCUGAUGCAGCGAUGCCGCGUGGAGGAAGAAGGUUUUCGGAUUGUAAACUCCUGUCUUAAAGGACGAUAAUGACGGUACUUUAGGAGGAAGCUCCGGCUAACUACGUGCCAGCAGCCGCGGUAAUACGUAGGGAGCAAGCGUUAUCCGGAUUUACUGGGUGUAAAGGGCGUGUAGGCGGGACAUCAAGUCAGAUGUGAAAGCACGAGGCUCAACUUCGUGUCUGCAUUUGAAACUGACGUUCUUGAGUGUUGGAGAGGCUAACGGAACUCCUAGUGUAGCGGUGAAAUGCGUAGAUAUUAGGAAGAACACCAGUGGCGAAGGCGGUUAGCUGGACAAUAACUGACGCUGAGGCGCGAAAGCGUGGGUAGCAAACAGGAUUAGAUACCCUGGUA